Molecule: ribosomal RNA, 207 nt
Filed under: uncultured delta proteobacterium
Lineage: Bacteria; Deltaproteobacteria
Description: partial 16S ribosomal RNA
Rfam family: Bacterial small subunit ribosomal RNA
Source: RNAcentral
AACGUAGGCGGUCCGAUAAGUCGGAUGUGAAAGCCCUCGGCUUAACCGAGGAAGUGCAUUCGAAACUGUCGGACUUGAGUAUGAAAGAGGGUCGCGGAAUUCCCGGUGUAGAGGUGAAAUUCGUAGAUAUCGGGAGGAACACCAGUGGCGAAGGCGGCGACCUGGUUCAAUACUGACGCUGAGGUUCGAAAGCGUGGGGAGCAAACA